GAUGAAGAACGCAGCGAAAUGCGAUAAGUAAUGUGAAUUGCAGAAUUCAGUGAAUCAUCGAAUCUUUGAACGCAUCUUGCGCUCCUUGGUAUUCCUUGGAGCAUGCCUGUUUGAGUAUCAUGAGCAAAUCUCAAAGUCAAUUCCUUUUGUUGAUUCAAUUGGUUUUGCUUUGGACUUGGAGGCCUUGCAGAUUUCACAGUCUGCUCCUCUUAAAUGCAUUAGCUGGAUCUCAGUAAUUAUGCUUGGUUCCACUCGGCGUGAUAAGCAUCACUCGCUGAGGACACUGUUAAAAAGGUGGCCAGGAAAAUACUGAUUGAACCGCUUCUAACGGUCUAUUAAGUUAGACAAUUACCCUUAAGUUUGAUCUCAAAUCAGGUAGGACUACCCGCUGAACUUAAGCAUAUCAAUAAGCGGAGGA
This 418-nucleotide unclassified non-coding RNA is filed under the name soil metagenome. Its description in RNAcentral is "partial contains 5.8S ribosomal RNA, internal transcribed spacer 2, and large subunit ribosomal RNA". The stretch from base 1 to 120 matches the Rfam family "5.8S ribosomal RNA", at positions 35 to 154 of the family's 154-position model. The record is from RNAcentral.